This 68-nucleotide transfer RNA is filed under the name Marmota monax (woodchuck). RNAcentral's name for it is "tRNA.Ala". Lineage: Eukaryota; Metazoa; Chordata; Mammalia; Rodentia; Sciuridae. The record is from RNAcentral.
GGCUUGUGGCUCAGUGGCAGAGCGCUUGCCUAGCAUGUGUGAGGCACUGGGUUUGAUCCUCAGCACCA